RNAcentral lists this transfer RNA (682 nucleotides) under Bos grunniens (domestic yak). RNAcentral's name for it is "lncRNA (ENSBGRG00000012001.1)". The record is from RNAcentral. Lineage: Eukaryota; Metazoa; Chordata; Mammalia; Artiodactyla; Bovidae.
AUGCGGCAAGUAAGCACCUCCCACCCGACAGAACAGAGGGUCAGCCUGGCUGUGCAGUUCCGACGAAACCAGGAAGCAGGUCUUGCCUCAUUCCUCCUGUCAAAGGAACUCCUCCAACCUCUCUUGGCCUUCAACCUGCACCUCUGUCUUGGGCUGCCCUGUCGGGUCCUGUGGUUGGUCAGGGUUCUGUGUCCACUCCAAACUGUGGGCUCCCUGACAGCAUGGCCUCCACCAGUUCAUCUCUACAGCCUCCCUGGAGCCCAGGCUAACAUAUUCACUAGGGACCCAGGGAGCAAGAAAGGAUCCAGAUGCCCUGAUGGAGGAUCCCCCAGAUCUGCCUCUUCAGACUUCUCACCCUGUGGACAGGUCACUUUAAAAAGUACCUUGAAAAGGGGCUUCCCUGGUGGUCCCAUGGUUACGACUCUGCCUGCGAUGCAGAGGACACUGGUUCAGUCCCUGGUCCAGGGAGACUCCAUAUGUAGAAGCAAGUAAGCCCAUGCACUACAGCUACUGAGCCCGCAUGCUCCAGAGCCUGUGCUCCGCAGCAAGAGACGCCACGGCAAGGAGAAACCGGCGCUCAGCAGCUAGAGAGCAGCCCACGCUCACUACAAGUAAAGACAGCCCUCGCACAGCAACCAAGACCCAGCACAGUCAACAAUUAAAUAUAUAGCUUUUUAAAAAG